AGGUGGCACUCGUGCACGGCGGCACGACUACGCCGCCUGCACACAGCCGGCAACGUAUCGCUACGUUUUGCCGGCC
RNAcentral lists this small RNA (76 nucleotides) under Xanthomonas vasicola. RNAcentral describes it as "sX9 sRNA". It matches the Rfam family "Xanthomonas sRNA sX9". The record is from RNAcentral. Lineage: Bacteria; Pseudomonadati; Pseudomonadota; Gammaproteobacteria; Lysobacterales; Lysobacteraceae. RNAcentral also lists the same sequence under 8 other names.